Molecule: small RNA, 29 nt
Filed under: Bombyx mori (domestic silkworm)
Lineage: Eukaryota; Metazoa; Arthropoda; Insecta; Lepidoptera; Bombycidae
Description: ovarian small RNA-27023
Source: RNAcentral
UCCAUGUAUACAACCUUCGAGGAUGAUGC